GGCCUCCUGGUGCUUACCACUGGCCAAGAUCUUACACUGACUGUAUAGAAAGAGAAAGCAAAGUUAACCUAUCCUAUACAGCCCAGCCCAGGCCCUGUGCCUGGUUUGUAUUGUAAAUGGGAAGACAUGG
Molecule: small nucleolar RNA, 130 nt
Filed under: Castor canadensis (American beaver)
Lineage: Eukaryota; Metazoa; Chordata; Mammalia; Rodentia; Castoridae
Description: Small nucleolar RNA SNORA51 (ENSCCNG00000017412.1)
Rfam family: Small nucleolar RNA SNORA51
About the family: ACA51 is a member of the H/ACA class of snoRNA that guide the sites of modification of uridines to pseudouridines.
Source: Rfam by way of RNAcentral